RNAcentral lists this long non-coding RNA (583 nucleotides) under Monodelphis domestica (gray short-tailed opossum). RNAcentral describes it as "lncRNA (ENSMODG00000037885.1)". The record is from RNAcentral. Lineage: Eukaryota; Metazoa; Chordata; Mammalia; Didelphimorphia; Didelphidae.
CCCUGAGGCAUGCUGGGGAAUGCAGUUCCCCCAGCCACAACACUUUACAACCCACACUGGCCGCCUGACCAUGUGAUUAACUGGGCCCCUUGCCAGGACUUGUGAAAUGGCCCAGGGCCCUUUGGGAAUCUAGGAUCUGAUGAAGCAGAAGUAAUGUAUCCAGGGACUUUUGUUCUUUCACAGUCACUUUCAUGUGGACAAUAUUCUUUCUCAUAAGUUCCUCUGGAUUGCCCUGGAUCAUUACUUUGCUACUCUGUUUUUGGUCUGCCUAGCUUUGGAAUCAGUACCACUUUUGUGUCAUUAAAAGAAUUUGUUACUUACAAGGGAGCAGGCGCACUGGUCACAAUUCCAAGAGAGAAAGAUGCACUAAUGAAUGUUAUUCAGAAGACUUUACUACAGAACUUGACAAACACCAAGAAGCAGCAACACUAUUUAAAAUGAAGAUUGGAAAAAGGAAUCAUAUCUGAAAUCAUGAAUCUCUAUAUUAUAUUUCUUUCUUUCCUGUUUAGUACUAAUUUAAAAGACUUAGUCUUAGAAUGAAGACUGUGUAAAUUAGAACAUAGACUAAUUCACCUGUAAGAUC